RNAcentral lists this long non-coding RNA (295 nucleotides) under Ananas comosus (pineapple). Its description in RNAcentral is "long non-coding RNA (ACOM_LNC031426)". The record is from RNAcentral. Lineage: Eukaryota; Viridiplantae; Streptophyta; Magnoliopsida; Poales; Bromeliaceae.
CAAUAUAAUUGAACUAGACUUUUAUUUACACUCCAUAUAAGCCAAAUUAAAUCUAAAUUAUAUAUUAUUCUAAUCAGAUUAGAAUUUAUCUUCAAUUUAGAUAACUAUAAAUAUAAACUAAAAUUUAACAAAAAAUUUUAUUUGUUCUAAUUAUUAUGUAAAUUUAAGAAUUUAUUAUAGUGAUUAUAAUGUUGUAGGAUAUUUUUUGAUUGCAUGGUUAGGGGGUACUUAAGAAAUAAAAAAUAAGUAUUAAAGAAAGUAGUGAAUGACAUUCUUCAUUAAUAAAGUGUUGAAU